RNAcentral lists this ribosomal RNA (440 nucleotides) under uncultured bacterium. RNAcentral describes it as "bacterial SSU rRNA". It matches the Rfam family "Bacterial small subunit ribosomal RNA", at positions 339 to 796 of the family's 1533-position model. The record is from RNAcentral.
CUACGGGAGGCAGCAGUGGGGAAUCUUGCACAAUGGAGGCAACUCUGAUGCAGCGACGCCGCGUGAGCGAUGAAGCCCCUCGGGGUGUAAAGCUCUUUCGGCAGGGACGAUAAUGACGGUACCUGAAGAAGAAGCUGCGGCUAACUACGUGCCAGCAGCCGCGGUAAUACGUAGGCAGCGAGCGUUGUUCGGAAUUACUGGGCGUAAAGAGUGUGUAGGCGGUGCUCUAAGUUCGGUGUGAAAUCUCCCGGCUUAACUGGGAGGGUGCGCCGGAAACUGGAGUGCUCGAGCGUGGGAGAGGAAAGCGGAAUUCCUGGUGUAGCGGUGAAAUGCGUAGAUAUCAGGAGGAACACCUGCGGUGUAGACGGCUUUCUGGACCAUUGCUGACGCUGAGACACGAAAGCGUGGGUAGCAAACAGGAUUAGAUACCCCUGUAGUCG